This 492-nucleotide ribosomal RNA is filed under the name uncultured bacterium. Its description in RNAcentral is "partial 16S ribosomal RNA". It matches the Rfam family "Bacterial small subunit ribosomal RNA", at positions 29 to 507 of the family's 1533-position model. The record is from RNAcentral.
AGUGAACGCUGGCGGUAGGCCUAACACAUGCAAGUCGAACGGCAGCACAGUAAGAGCUUGCUCUUACGGGUGGCGAGUGGCGGACGGGUGAGGAAUACAACGGACUCUACUUUUUCGUGGGGGUUAACGUAGGGAAACUUACGCUAAUACCGCAUACGACCUACGGGUGAAAGCAGGGGAUCUUUGGACCUUGCGCGAUUGAAUGAGCCGAUGUCGGAUUAGCUAGUUGGCGGGGUAAAGGCCCACCAAGGCGGCGAUCCGUAGCUGGUCUGAGAGGAUGAUCAGCCACACGGGAACUGAGACACGGACCAGACGCCUGCGGGAGGCAGCAGUGGGGAAUAUUGGACAAUGGGCGCAAGCCUGAUCCAGCCAUACCGCGUGGGUGAAGAAGGCCUUCGGGUUGUAAAGCCCUUUUGUUGGGAAAGAAAAGCAGCAGGUUAAUACCCCGCUGUUCUGACGGUACCCAAAGAAUAAGCACCGGCUAACUUCGUG